GACGAACGCUGGCGGCGUGCCUAACACAUGCAAGUCGAACGGAGUGAAGCCCUUCGGGACUUUACUUAGUGGCGAACGGGUGAGUAACGCGUGAGGAACCUGCCUUUCAGUGGGGGACAACAGUUGGAAACGACUGCUAAUACCGCAUGACGCUUCUUGGGGGCAUCCCCGGGAAGCCAAAGAUUUAUUGCUGAAAGAUGGCCUCGCGUCUGAUUAGCUGGUUGGUGAGGUAACGGCCCACCAAGGCGACGAUCAGUAGCCGGCCUGAGAGGGUGAACGGCCACAUUGGGACUGAGACACGGCCCAAACUCCUACGGGAGGCAGCAGUGGGGAAUAUUGCACAAUGGGGGGAAACCCCUGAUGCAGCGACGCCGCGUGAGUGAGGAAGUAUUUCGGUAUGUAAAACUCUAUCAGCAGGGAAGAUAAUGACGGUACCUGACUAAGAAGCACCGGCUAAAUACGUG
This 464-nucleotide ribosomal RNA is filed under the name uncultured bacterium. Its description in RNAcentral is "bacterial SSU rRNA". It matches the Rfam family "Bacterial small subunit ribosomal RNA", at positions 28 to 507 of the family's 1533-position model. The record is from RNAcentral.